CCGUGUGUGAUAUGUGAAACCUGCAGUGCAAUAGCUUGUUGCACUCAUGUGAUCAAGAGGCAAAGGAAGGGAACGCACACUUUUUGACCGGUUCUUUGGUUCGACCCAACCGAGAGGUAUUGAGCCAAACACUCCUUUUUCUUCUAUGUGUGAUAUCCACUCAUGUAUUGUCACUCGAUUUUGCUUGUCGUCUUUGUAUUUGAUUGGUACUUUUGUAGCACACACGAGGCAUGUUCCUUGGUACCUUUGAGCUUUUCUAUCCACCCUUACAUAUAAUUAUCCUUUGCUUAACCAAUUUGAGCUGAAAAAGAAAAUGUUAUUUUUGCAAAACCUUAAGGAAUUUUUGAUGAAAAAAGGAAUGACUUUCUUGGAGGUUAGGCACCUAAUUAGUGGUUGAUGCGCAUUGCUCACCACUAAGUUUGGGGUUGCUCUUUGGAAUUAGCAACAAAUAAAGUUUGGGGUGAGGGUACUAGAGAAC
This 478-nucleotide long non-coding RNA is filed under the name Trifolium pratense (red clover). RNAcentral's name for it is "long non-coding RNA (TPRA_LNC012398)". Lineage: Eukaryota; Viridiplantae; Streptophyta; Magnoliopsida; Fabales; Fabaceae. The record is from RNAcentral.